UAUUGGGCCGACUCUAGCCCGCUACGGAUAUUCUCUGAUGGGCCGUAAUCUCGCAUAUGCUUAAUGGGCCGUAAGUUCGUAAAUUUGUGGGACCACUCACGGCGAUCAAAACCUCCUCCGCCGCUCCGUCGCUUCAGUUCCGCCGGCGGCGAAACUCCCGAUAAGCGAAGGUUCGCCGGCGGCGGCGCCAUCGGUGGUGACGUCGAGGCGUCCCCGGCGGCACCGACCUCUUCGGCCUCCCCUUCGUUAUGGCGGAUCAGGAGGGGGAAGAAGCUAGGCGAGUGUGGGAGCGGAGAGGGGGAUGAGCCAGCCCUAGGGUUUCGCUGCGAGGGCAAGCCGCCAAUUACGCCCGCGGCGGGAACGCGAGGAUCCCGAGUUGAUCCUCGUCCUGAUCUCCCUCGUCAUCAUCUUCUUCGUAGUGAGGCCUCCUCGAAUCUCUCUCACCACACCAUGAUUGCCUGCUUAAUGCUUAUCAAUGUCUCUCUCGCAUUUGGUAAUGAUUUAUUUUUUUUUCGGGGGGCUCGGUUUUGGUUUGAUUUCUUCGUCUUCGUGGCCGGUAAUUUCGUCCGCAACGAGCUCCAUCCACCAGCGAUCUUGCUGCAGCUGUGAUUUGGGGCCAUUUUGUCGACCUUGUCUCUGUGCAAUUAUUAAUAUAUAGUUCAUGGCUCAUUUAGGAGAAAGUUUCAGUGACUGUUAUAGCUAAGCUUUAAUGCCAUUUUGCUGGGCCCAGAAUUGUAUAAACACAUCAAAAUUGCCGCCGAUGAUGUUGAGACAAAGCAAAUUGUGUUUCAAGACACCCAAGAUAAAAUGCCAUCAAAUAUAAUAUCUGUUGUGCAAUGCGGAGGAUCCAUACAUCUUCUGUGGUCUCAAGAAGCUAAAUUUUCUAUUAAGCCAAACAUCACAAGACAACCAAACACUGACUAUAAAACGACUCAGCUUCAUUUUGGUGACCUUGGUAGAUGAGAUACAGAAACCCAAUUAUCAUAUUAAAUUUGAUCAAGGGAGCAGAAAAAGGGGCUCAAUUCAUUGAUUAUCCUAGUUGCUUGGGAAAUUCGGAAACACCAUAAUGACAGUGUUUCCAACGGAGCGGAUCCAAGCGUCAUGGAGGUGUCGAGGGCAGUGUCAACAGAAGCUAGGUUUCGGUUCCUGGCUAGAGCUCUUGCGCUCCAAGAUUUCCUUUGUAGGUCACUAACCCAAGGGCACUAGGCUGGUUUUUGGUCUUUGUACGGUGGUUUUUGGUCGUGUAUCGCCUUGUGUGAUGCUAGUUGUGGAUGUGUUCUGGGUGAAGGGCUCAUGAGCCCUUGGUUGUAUGGGUGGUUUGUUUUCCUUCUUAAUGAAAUGAAGUGCAGCUCUCCUGCGUUUUCUAAAAAAAUUUAAAAAACUUGUGAGGAUUGUGGUAUUACUCCAAUUCUGAUAUCAUCUAACAUGAAAUAUUUCAGUUGCUAGCUUUUCCAGUUUUAAGCACUUUCUUUGUAUGUAAUCAGGAACAAUCUUCAGAAACAUAAUAUGUACUAAAAAUGAUUCAGAACUUAAGUGUUGUUCUAUUGAUCAAGCCAAAUCAUUUUUACAUAUUCAUUACAAAAUAAUUGUAAAGCUUGAAGGAAAACAUACCAUCUCUCUGUUUUCCUGAUUGCCUGGUCACAACACAGGCAUAGAGAUUUUGAUCAGCAUGUCAAUACAUAGGGAAAAUGAGAUUGGAAAAAUAACAGUAUUUACAUGUCAUUUUGCAAUCCUUUACUAGACGAGUUUUAGUCAAUAGGCUUUUUUUGCAGAUGAAGUUUUAUUUCUCUCAUAAACAUGACAAUAUAUAAGAAUAUUUUUAUAUACAUGUCUUGUUGAUGCACAUUUAUAUUUUGUGCCUUUUCGCUUUAUGGCUUUGUGUAGUAUGAUAGCUUAGAAAAUUAUAAC
Non-coding RNA from Oryza sativa Japonica Group (Japanese rice), 1908 nucleotides. NCBI's taxonomy places the organism in Eukaryota, Viridiplantae, Streptophyta, Magnoliopsida, Poales, Poaceae. The record is from RefSeq and is a predicted model, not a curated record.